This 507-nucleotide ribosomal RNA is filed under the name uncultured cyanobacterium. Its description in RNAcentral is "bacterial SSU rRNA". It matches the Rfam family "Bacterial small subunit ribosomal RNA", at positions 115 to 656 of the family's 1533-position model. Lineage: Bacteria; Bacillati; Cyanobacteriota. The record is from RNAcentral.
GCGUGAGAAUCUGCCCUCAGGAGGGGGAUAACGACUGGAAACGGUCGCUAAUACCCCAUAUGCCGAGAGGUGAAAUGAAUUUCGCCUGAGGAUGAGCUCGCGUCUGAUUAGCUAGUUGGUGGGGUAAAGGCCUACCAAGGCGACGAUCAGUAGCUGGUCUGAGAGGAUGAUCAGCCACACUGGGACUGAGACACGGCCCAGACUCCUACGGGAGGCAGCAGUGGGGAAUUUUCCGCAAUGGGCGAAAGCCUGACGGAGCAACGCCGCGUGAGGGAUGAAGGCCUCUGGGCUGUAAACCUCUUUUCUUAAGGAAGAAGAUCUGACGGUACUUGAGGAAUAAGCCACGGCUAAUUCCGUGCCAGCAGCCGCGGUAAUACGGGAGUGGCAAGCGUUAUCCGGAAUCAUUGGGCGUAAAGCGUCCGCAGGCGGCCUUGUAAGUCUGUCGUUAAAGCGUGGAGCUGAACUCCAUUUCAGCGAUGGAAACUACAAGGCUUGAGUGUGGUAGGG